This 305-nucleotide ribosomal RNA is filed under the name uncultured bacterium. RNAcentral describes it as "bacterial SSU rRNA". It matches the Rfam family "Bacterial small subunit ribosomal RNA", at positions 334 to 653 of the family's 1533-position model. The record is from RNAcentral.
UCUUCCUACGGGACGCAGCAGUCGGGAAUAUUGCGCAAUGGAGGGAACUCUGACGCAGUGACGCCGCGUAUAGGAAGAAGGUUUUCGGAUUGUAAACUAUUGUAGACAGGGAAGAAAAAAAUGACAGUACCUGUAAAGUAAGCUCCGGCUAACUACGUGCCAGCAGCCGCGGUAAUACGUAGGGAGCAAGCGUUAUCCGGAAUUAUUGGGUGUAAAGGGUGCGUAGACGGGAAUACAAGUUAGUUGUGAAAUCCCUCGGCUUAACUGAGGAACUGCAACUAAAACUAUAUUUCUUGAGUGCGGGG